AGUAAGCUGCUACUAGUUCUUACCUGUGCGUUAAGACGUUCACUCAUGUCAACAAAAAUGGCGGUGCGCGAUUGUGCAGCCCCAGACAGCAACCCAACAUUGAAUAAAUAUUAAUUUUCCAUCGGAAUCAUCAUUAUGGUUGAUAUUGAAAUUUCAAUGCAAAAUAAAUGUUGAAUCACCAUUACAAUAUCGAUGAAACCUGUUGAUGGCAACAACAUUGGAACAACAUUGAUCUGUAGUUAUCUUUAUGAUUGAUUAAGCAUUGAUAUUUGGUUUACCGGGCGAUAUUGCCAAUGUGUUGAAAAGUCAUUGAUUUAGAGUUGACCGGGAAACGACCUGUUGUUGAAAAGCCAUCGAAAUAUAGUUGACUGGGAAAUAUGAUUGAAAAUGCAUUGAUUUAUAGUUGACCGGGAAAUAUGAUUGAAAAUGCAUUGAUAUAUAGUUGACCGGGAAAUAUGAUUGAAAAUGCAUUGAUACAUAGUUGACCGGGAAAUAUGAUUGAAAAUGCAUUGAUAUAUAGUUGACCGGGAAAUAUGAUUGAAAAGCCAUUGAUUUUUGGUUGACCGGGAGAUCAUCGGGUGGUAGACCAACGUACUGCACUGGACACAUCUCAUUUCUGGACUCUUGGGGCGAAUACGAUCAGAGAGGAAAAUGCCAGGCGGAGAGGGAAGAAAAGAGAUCACCUGCCGGAGGGACUGAAGCAAGUAAAAUGAUGCUCUUACACAGCAGAUGGGGACAGCCGUCGUCACCCAAUUUACUUUUGCCCAAGCUGUGCAACAGUUGCUGCGCUAUGCGUCAGACCGGGCAGGAAGGACUGGACGACAAACCAGUCAGACGUGAAUGACAUGAACUGUAACUAUGCUAAAGAGGACAAAUAAUGAAAUAAGAGGCUAAUAAAAUGAAUUUGUUUUUACCUUAAACAGUGUGGUGUGGUCAGUGUUUUUAGGCUAGGCUAUAGGCAUACAAGCUUUCAAAUGUUCCAUCACUUUUUACCUUCCUGGCUGUAGAUAAAGCAGGAUAUUCAUUAUAGGCUAUUUAAUUUAGGGCAUUACAUUUUCGUAUGCCUAGUAAUACUUUUCUAUGGCUUAAUAAUGAUUGAAAUUCCAUUGAAAUCACGUUGAUCCUUAGUUCAGUUGAAAUUUCAACAUUGUUUCAAUAUUCCUGAUAAUUGAAAUACCAUUGAAAUUCCAUUGAUCUAUGGACAGGAUUUCAACGUUGUUUCAAUAUUAAAACAGGGUGCAAAAUGAUGUUGAAUCCACAUCAGAAUUUGAUGUUGUUUCAGUGACUUAAUGUUGACAACGGAAUGUUGAUUUAACAUAGUUUCAAUGACUGUUUCCUAUCUGGGGCGGCUCUCCUGUCGGUGUAUAUUUAUACAAGUACGUACAGCCACACA
Molecule: long non-coding RNA, 1393 nt
Organism: Perca flavescens (yellow perch)
Lineage: Eukaryota; Metazoa; Chordata; Actinopteri; Perciformes; Percidae
Exons: 3
Source: RefSeq, a predicted model, not a curated record